RNAcentral lists this ribosomal RNA (500 nucleotides) under uncultured bacterium. Its description in RNAcentral is "partial 16S ribosomal RNA". It matches the Rfam family "Bacterial small subunit ribosomal RNA", at positions 30 to 523 of the family's 1533-position model. The record is from RNAcentral.
AUUGAACGCUGGCGGAAUGCUUUACACAUGCAAGUCGAACGGCAGCACGGACUUCGGUCUGGUGGCGAGUGGCGAACGGGUGAGUAAUGUAUCGGAACGUGCCCAGUCGUGGGGGAUAACGUAGUGAAAAUUACGCUAAUACCGCAUACGAUCUAUGGAUGAAAGCGGGGGAUCGCAAGACCUCGCGCGAUUGGAGCGGCCGAUAUCAGAUUAGGUAGUUGGUGGGGUAAAGGCCCACCAAGCCAACGAUCUGUAGCUGGUCUGUUAGGAGGACCAGCCACACUGGAUUUGAGACACGGUCCAGACUCCUACGGGAGGCAGCAGUGUGGAAUUUUGGAAAAUGGGCGGAAGCCUGAUCCAGCCAUUCCGCGUGCAGGAUGAAGGCCCUCGGGUUGUAAACUGCUUUUGUACAGAACGAAAAGGUUUCUACUAAUACUAGGAGCUCAUGACGGUACUGUAAGAAUAAGCACCGGCUAACUACGUGCCAGCCGCCGCAGUAA